This 77-nucleotide transfer RNA is filed under the name Roseivirga pacifica. Its description in RNAcentral is "tRNA-Ala". It matches the Rfam family "tRNA". Rfam says of the family: Transfer RNA (tRNA) molecules are approximately 80 nucleotides in length. Their secondary structure includes four short double-helical elements and three loops (D, anti-codon, and T loops). Further hydrogen bonds mediate the characteristic L-shaped molecular structure. tRNAs have two regions of fundamental functional importance: the anti-codon, which is responsible for specific mRNA codon recognition, and the 3' end, to which the tRNAs corresponding amino acid is attached (by aminoacyl-tRNA synthetases). tRNAs cope with the degeneracy of the genetic code in two manners: having more than one tRNA (with a specific anti-codon) for a particular amino acid; and 'wobble' base-pairing, i.e. permitting non-standard base-pairing at the 3rd anti-codon position. RNAcentral also lists the same sequence under 2 other names. Lineage: Bacteria; Pseudomonadati; Bacteroidota; Cytophagia; Cytophagales; Roseivirgaceae. The record is from RNAcentral.
GGGGGUUUAGCUCAGCUGGCUAGAGCGCUACACUGGCAGUGUAGAGGUCACCGGUUCGAAUCCGGUAUCCUCCACCA